This 293-nucleotide ribosomal RNA is filed under the name uncultured Acidimicrobiales bacterium. RNAcentral's name for it is "partial 16S ribosomal RNA". It matches the Rfam family "Bacterial small subunit ribosomal RNA", at positions 505 to 796 of the family's 1533-position model. Lineage: Bacteria; Bacillati; Actinomycetota; Acidimicrobiia; Acidimicrobiales. The record is from RNAcentral.
GUGUCAGCAGCCGCGGUAAUACGUAGGGAGCGAGCGUUGUCCGGAUUUAUUGGGCGUAAAGAGCUCGUAGGCGGCUUGGUAAGUCGGAUGUGAAAGCUCCAGGCUCAACCUGGAGUCGCCAUCCGAUACUGCCAUAGCUAGAGUCCGGUAGGGGCCCACGGAACUCCUGGUGUAGCGGUGAAAUGCGCAGAUAUCAGGAAGAACACCGGUGGCGAAGGCGGUGGGCUGGGCCGGUACUGACGCUGAGGAGCGAAAGCGUGGGGAGCGAACAGGAUUAGAAACCCUAGUAGUCC